AUUAGAGUUUGAUCCUGGCUCAGAUUGAACGCUGGCGGCAGGCCUAACACAUGCAAGUCGAACGGUAACAGGAAGAAGCUUGCUUCUUUGCUGACGAGUGGCGGACGGGUGAGUAAUGUCUGGGAAACUGCCUGAUGGAGGGGGAUAACUACUGGAAACGGUAGCUAAUACCGCAUAACGUCGCAAGACCAAAGAGGGGGACCUUCGGGCCUCUUGCCAUCGGAUGUGCCCAGAUGGGAUUAGCUAGUAGGUGGGGUAACGGCUCACCUAGGCGACGAUCCCUAGCUGGUCUGAGAGGAUGACCAGCCACACUGGAACUGAGACACGGUCCAGACUCCUACGGGAGGCAGCAGUGGGGAAUAUUGCACAAUGGGCGCAAGCCUGAUGCAGCCAUGCCGCGUGUAUGAAGAAGGCCUUCGGGUUGUAAAGUACUUUCAGCGGGGAGGAAGGGAGUAAAGUUAAUACCUUUGCUCAUUGACGUUACCCGCAGAAGAAGCACCGGCUAACUCCGUGCCAGCAGCCGCGGUAAUAAU
This 533-nucleotide ribosomal RNA is filed under the name uncultured Gammaproteobacteria bacterium. RNAcentral's name for it is "bacterial SSU rRNA". It matches the Rfam family "Bacterial small subunit ribosomal RNA", at positions 1 to 526 of the family's 1533-position model. Lineage: Bacteria; Pseudomonadati; Pseudomonadota; Gammaproteobacteria. The record is from RNAcentral.